CUUGUCUGUUGUCUGAUGGGAAGAAUGAAGAGAACAGAGCCUUGUAGUGAGCAUCUCUCUCUUCUCCCCCAAUGCAGAUGAAGUGAACUUGCUGGAUAAAAUUACUUCCCAUGCCCAGGACCUCAGCAAUAUUUCCUUUAGCUAUGAUGAAGCCAACUGCAGCAUCCUGGAGAUCGGGCAGUACGCUACCCUUAACAUCCCUACGAGGGAGGCGUUUGGGGACAGGUUUGCAGAUGAGCUGAGUGUGCUGAUGAAGCUCAGGUACUCGCUGAAGGAGGACACCAGCCUAGUGACCAUCCUUAGCCAUCGGAGUCACGUGCUCUUCCAAAUCAGGAUUAACCCAUAUGCCUUGGUCUUUGUCACCACGAGGAGGAGACACUAUGAGUUCCCAGUUUCCUUUCUUGGCGAUGGGCACUGGCACCAAGUUGCUCUCAGCAUCUCCUUGGAGAGGCUGGAAUUGCACGUGGACUGUCGGCUGGUGGACAGAGUGAGCUGGUCCAAUUAUUUCGGGAUGGGAGUGAACACUGAGGGGCUGAUCAUCAUUGGAGGCCUGAUCGAGUCCUUCGAGAUCCCCUUUAAGGGUGCUCUACAGCAACUGACCUUCAUGAUGGGAGACCCAAUGGCUGCCAGCGAGCACUGCCACAGCUACAACUCAACGUGCAAACACUCCUUCAACCUCAAGCGCUUUGGUUCCCCCUGGGAGCUUUCACCAGCUUGGCCAGAGGUGUGGCUGGGGGCAGCUGACAAAUAUGGGGGUUGCUGGCCCAAGCUCCUCUUUGGUAUAA
This 785-nucleotide long non-coding RNA is filed under the name Athene cunicularia (burrowing owl). RNAcentral describes it as "lncRNA (ENSACUG00000014449.1)". The record is from RNAcentral. Lineage: Eukaryota; Metazoa; Chordata; Aves; Strigiformes; Strigidae.